RNAcentral lists this ribosomal RNA (379 nucleotides) under uncultured eukaryote. RNAcentral describes it as "SSU rRNA". It matches the Rfam family "Eukaryotic small subunit ribosomal RNA", at positions 587 to 972 of the family's 1831-position model. The record is from RNAcentral.
AGCUCCAAUAGCGUAUACUUAAGUUGUUGUAGUUAAAAAUCUCAUAGUUGGACUUUGCGAUGGGCCGGCCGGUCCGCCUAUAGUGUGCACCGGUCGUCUCGUCCCUUCUGUCGGCGAUGCGCUCCUGGCCUUAAUUGGCCUAGUCGUGCCUCCGGUGCUGUUACUUUGAAGAAAUUAGAGUGAUCAAAGCAAGCCUACGCUCUGUAUACAUGAGCAUGGGAUAACAUUAUAGGAUUUCGGUCCUAUUACGUUGGCCUUCGGGUUCGGAGUAAUGAUUAACAGGGACAGUUGGGGGCAUUCGAAUUUCAUAGUCAGAGGUGAAAUUCUUGGAUUUAUGAAAGACAAACAACGGCGAAAGCAUUUGCCAAGGAUGUUUUAA